Molecule: ribosomal RNA, 253 nt
Filed under: uncultured bacterium
Lineage: Bacteria
Description: partial 16S ribosomal RNA
Rfam family: Bacterial small subunit ribosomal RNA
Source: RNAcentral
UACAGGGGGUGCAAACGUUGCUCGGAAUUACUGGGCGUAAAGCGUGCGCAGGCGGUUCGCCAAGUCAGGUGUGAAAUCCCCGGGCUUAACCUGGGAAUUGCGCUUGAAACUAGCGGGCUUGAGUGCGGCAGAGGGGGGUGGAAUUCCACGUGUAGCAGUGAAAUGCGUAGAGAUGUGGAGGAACACCGAUGGCGAAGGCAGCCCCCUGGGUCGACACUGACGCUCAUGCACGAAAGCGUGGGGAGCAAACAGG